UGUCUAUUGUGAUGAUCACAGUAACUUAGAUGUUAACCUUAUCAGCCUUAUCCUGUGUGACUAUUUUUCAAGCUCAGUUAGAUUCCUGGGGACAGGAGCAAUCCAAGAUGCAGGACUUUCCCAGGCCUCCAAUUUAAGGUGAUCAUGAGGUGAAAUGGAGCCAAGAAGAGCCAAGUAAGAACCACCAAAGGCUCAUGCUGUCAUAAAGACCAUGUCCUUUUAGCAGAGGAUGCAUAGGAGGCCAAGAGAAGUUGCAUAACAGUGCUAUGACACGUUUUCCCAUGAGAAGCACAGCCUUGCUUUCCAGACUUUCCAAGAGUCUUCUCUAGUGGCUGUGCCAAUACAUUCUGCACUGCACCCCAAGACAGCUGGAGGCCAAGUAAUCUGACCUACCUGUAGCUAUGUGAAACCUUCAGCAACUGUUGACUUCAGAAGACAAAGAUCAUGCUGUAAGGCUGAAUUACUCUUUUGAGACGGGAAAUGAACAGAAAUAGGAUUCAAAGCUGAUGCCCAGAAAAGGACACAAUGAAAUUUAGCAUUGAUAAAUUGCUCAGGGCCUUUUGUAAAAUCCCAGCCCAUGAUAUCAGGACCUUCUUUCCUUGUUCUGAAGAUCUUGAUGUUGGACUCAGAUGUUUCAUCAGUCUCUAGCUGGGAUCUGCUUGCCACUGCAUCCAAAUCCCACAUCUUCCAGGGCAGAGAAGUUGCUGUGGAUGCUUCAGCACCAUAAGACAUGAUUAUGAAGCGAGAAAGACAAACUUCUACCACAGUUAUCACUGUGCCUUCACCUAGAAAAUUACAAGGACUGUGUUUGUAUCUGUCUCACUCCUGUUAAGUUGGAUCUGCGGUAACUCCUACACCCCUGGUUUUGAGCUUUAGUCCUGAAAGGCUUGAUUCACCACCAAAUACCUUCCAUUUCAUUGUCAUAAUUCCAUUGAUUUCAGCUAAAUUCUGUGAAGUUAUUUUGCGAUGAUAGAGCAGUAAUUUAAAAAAAAAAAAUCCUGUAAAAGUCUUAUGGAUCCUUUUUUAUUUUAAAAAGUUCAUUUUAGUGGUUCUGUCUCUUAAGAAUUAAAAUGA
This is a long non-coding RNA of Parus major (Great Tit), 1074 nucleotides long. RefSeq lists it as uncharacterized. The record is from RefSeq and is a predicted model, not a curated record. The transcript is spliced from 3 exons. NCBI's taxonomy places the organism in Eukaryota, Metazoa, Chordata, Aves, Passeriformes, Paridae.